RNAcentral lists this long non-coding RNA (325 nucleotides) under Hordeum vulgare. Its description in RNAcentral is "long non-coding RNA (HVUL_LNC013045)". The record is from RNAcentral. Lineage: Eukaryota; Viridiplantae; Streptophyta; Magnoliopsida; Poales; Poaceae.
GAGAAGCAAAACAGUGGGCGCCUUCAAUGAGCCAUCCUCGCUCCUCCCACCGUCUCUGGUGUCGUCGCCUGGGGUCGCGUUCUCUCAGGGAUCUCGGGACGAAGACUUUCACGCCCAUCCAUGGCCGCGAGCGGCGCGCGGCCAUGUGCGCGGCUGUGGCGUUCAGGAGAGGAGGCGGGCGCUGGGUUCCUGGGCGAGGCCACAUGCCUCUGCUUGUUUCGCGCAUGGUUCCUCGCUUUUGUUUAUUUGUUUAUUUGCCUCUACUACGUGCGAUCGCGCGUCAGGGCAGUGCGUGCAUGCAUCUUGCCGUGGUGAUCUGCACAAG